GCCACCUUAGCUCAGCUGGUAGAGCGCCCGCCUUGUAAGCGGAAGGUCGCCGGUUCGAUCCCGGCAGGUGGCUCCA
This 76-nucleotide transfer RNA is filed under the name Opitutaceae bacterium. Its description in RNAcentral is "tRNA-Thr". It matches the Rfam family "tRNA". Rfam says of the family: Transfer RNA (tRNA) molecules are approximately 80 nucleotides in length. Their secondary structure includes four short double-helical elements and three loops (D, anti-codon, and T loops). The record is from RNAcentral. Lineage: Bacteria; Pseudomonadati; Verrucomicrobiota; Opitutia; Opitutales; Opitutaceae.